AGAGGGUGCGAACGUUGCUCGGAUUUACUGGGCGUAAAGCGCGUGUAGGCGGACUCGCAAGUCGGUUGUGAAAUCCCUGGGCUCAACCUAGGAACUGCAUCCGAAACUGCCUGUCUUGAGUAAUGGAGAGGGUGGCGGAAUUCCCGGUGUAGAGGUGAAAUUCGUAGAUAUCGGGAGGAACAUCAGUGGCGAAGGCGGCCACCUGGACAUUUACUGACGCUGAGACGCGAAAGCGUGGGGAGCAAACAGGGAUUAGAUACCCUGGUAGUCCACGCCGUAAACGAUGAGCACUAGGUGCAGCGGAUAUUGACCUCUGCUGUGCCGCAGCUAACGCGUUAAGUGCUCCGCCUGGGGAGUACGGCCGCAAGGCUA
This 372-nucleotide ribosomal RNA is filed under the name uncultured organism. RNAcentral describes it as "partial 16S ribosomal RNA". It matches the Rfam family "Bacterial small subunit ribosomal RNA", at positions 527 to 896 of the family's 1533-position model. The record is from RNAcentral.